RNAcentral lists this unclassified non-coding RNA (464 nucleotides) under uncultured Glomus. RNAcentral's name for it is "SSU rRNA". It matches the Rfam family "Eukaryotic small subunit ribosomal RNA", at positions 569 to 1038 of the family's 1831-position model. The record is from RNAcentral. Lineage: Eukaryota; Fungi; Glomeromycota; Glomeromycetes; Glomerales; Glomeraceae.
AGCAGCCGCGGUAAUUCCAGCUCCAAUAGCGUAUAUUAAAGUUGUUGCAGUUAAAAAGCUCGUAGUUGAAUUUCGGGAUCAAUACGUCGGUCGUGCUUCGGUACGUACUGGCGUAAUUGAUUUCUCCCUUCUGACGAACCAUGAUGUCAUUAACUUGGUGUCAUGGGAAAUCAGGACUGUUACUUUGAAAAAAUUAGAGUGUUUAAAGCAGGCUCACGCUUGAAUACAUUAGCAUGGAAUAAUGAAAUAGGACGUUCGAUCCUAUUUUGUUGGUUUUUAGGAUCAACGUAAUGAUUAAUAGGGAUAGUUGGGGGCAUUAGUAUUCAAUUGUCAGAGGUGAAAUUCUUGGAUUUAUUGAAGACUAACUACUGCGAAAGCAUUUGCCAAGGAUGUUUUCAUUAAUCAAGAACGAAAGUUAGGGGAUCGAAGACGAUCAGAUACCGUCGUAGUCUUAACCAUAAACU